This 592-nucleotide long non-coding RNA is filed under the name Musa acuminata (dwarf banana). RNAcentral describes it as "long non-coding RNA (MACU_LNC009035)". Lineage: Eukaryota; Viridiplantae; Streptophyta; Magnoliopsida; Zingiberales; Musaceae. The record is from RNAcentral.
CAGAAGAUAGUUUGCAGUUAUAAGUAGAAUCAAAACGUAAAUGUAAACUGCAAUGUAAAGAUCGUAUGAAAACACCGAUUUACGUCUGAAUGCAGAUUCGGAAAGAUCAGAACUUAGAAACUUUUUCGUAAAAGCGCAGAGAGCAGUAGCUAUGUAGGAGGUUUGCAGUAAUGAUAAAGUGCUCAAAAUAAAAGCAAACCAGAGAUUUAGAGUGGUUCGGUCAGUCUUGACCUACUCCACUUUUGGCUUCCUCCAUCGACGAGGUCACCGACGUCAACUAGAGGCCUUCCUUCAAUAGGCGAAGGCCAACUGCCCUUUUACAGUUUCACUCCUUUUGACGGGCUCAGGAGACAACCCUUACAUAACCUUUCUCUCCUCUCUUUACAACUCAAGACUUGAAGAACAGAAAGAGGAGAACUUUUGGACUUUACACAAAUUUGAGCUCUUAGAAUCACAGAAAAGAUCAAGAAUUCGAUGUAGUUCUGUAUCUUUUCAGUGCUGAAUGGGUGGGGUAUUUAUAGGCCCCAACCCAGUUCAAAUUUGGAGCUCAAAAUGAUCAAAUCCCGGAAUUCCGGGAUCAGGCGAUUGCACC